Molecule: ribosomal RNA, 491 nt
Filed under: uncultured bacterium
Lineage: Bacteria
Description: partial 16S ribosomal RNA
Rfam family: Bacterial small subunit ribosomal RNA
Source: RNAcentral
AGUGAACGCUGGCGGUAGGCCUAACACAUGCAAGUCGAACGGCAGCACAGUAAGAGCUUGCUCUUACGGGUGGCGAGUGGCGGACGGGUGAGGAAUACAUCGGAAUCUACUUUUUCGUGGGGGACAACGUAGGGAAACUUACGCUAAUACCACAUACGACCUACGGGUGAAAGCAGGGGAUCUUCUGACCUUGCGCGAUUGAAUGAGCCGAUGUCGGAUUAGCUAGUUGGCGGGGUAAAGGCCCACCAAGGCGACGAUCCGUAGCUGGUCUGAGAGGAUGAUCACCCACACUGGAACUGAGACACGGUCCAGACUCCUACGGGAGGCAGCAGUGGGGAAUAUUGGAAAAUGGGCGCAAGCCUGAUCCAGCCAUACCGCGUGGGUGAAGAAGGCCUUCGGGUUGUAAAGCCCUUUUGUUGGGAAAGAAAAGCAGCAGGUUAAUACCCCGCUGUUCUGACGGUACCCAAAGAAUAAGCACCGGCUAACUUCGU